This 2247-nucleotide long non-coding RNA is filed under the name Homo sapiens (human). RNAcentral's name for it is "non-protein coding LINC00333:4". Lineage: Eukaryota; Metazoa; Chordata; Mammalia; Primates; Hominidae. The record is from RNAcentral.
GCCCGUGCCUCUUCCUCCACACUUUCCCGCAAGCUGAGGGAGCCGGCUCCCGCCUUGGCCAGCCCGGAAAGGGGCUCCCACGGUGCAGCGGUGGGCUGAAGGGCUCCUCAAGCACGGCCAGAGUGGGCGCCAAGGCCGAGGAGGCCCCGAGAGCGAGCGAGGGCUGCCAGUAUGCUGUCACCUCUCAUUAUUAUUUGCCGAUGGGAGUGGAGAAGGAGACUUGGUGAUAACAGGACUGAAAACCUUGUGUAGCCUACAGUCCAUAUGCUUCAGUCUAUUGUGUCUUGAUCUAAGAAGAGAUGCAGAACAGAUGCUAAGAAGACUUAGACGCAAUGAGCCCCAGAAACAUUUCGGGUAUAUCUUCAUCAGCACUAUGAUAAUGGACUAAUACAGUAAAUUGGUACAAGUAGAGUGGGGCAUUGCCGAAAAGAUACCCAAAAAUGUAGAAGCAACUUUGGAACUGGGUAUCAGACAGAGGUUGGAACAGUUUGGAGGGCUCAGAAGAAGACAGGAAAAUGUGGGAAAGUUUGGAACCUCCUAGAGACUUGUUGAAUGGCUUUGACAAAAAUGCUGAUUGUGAUAUGAACAGUGGGUCCAGGCUGAGAUGGUCUCAGAUAGAGAUGAGGAACCUGCUGGGAACUGGAGCAAAGAUGACCCUUGUUAUGUUUUAGCAAAGAGACUGGUGGCAUUUUGCCCUUGCCCUAGAAAUUUGUGGAGCUUUGAACUUGAGAGAGAUCAUUUAGGGUAUCUGGCAGAAGAAAUUUCUAAGCAGCAAAGCAUUCAAAAGGUGACUUGGAUGCUGUUAAAAGCAUUUCAUUUUAAAAGGGAAACAGAGCAUAAAAUUUCAGAGAAUUUGUAGCCUGAUGAUGCAGUAGAAAAGAAAACCCAUUUUUUAAGAAGAAAUUCAAGCUGGCUGCAAAAAUUUGCAUAAGUAACAAGGAGCCAAAGUUAAUCCCUGACAAUGGGGAAAAUGUCUGCAGGGAAUGCCAGAGGUCUUCAUGGUAGCCCCUCCCAUCACAAAUCCAGAAGCAUAGGAGGAAAAAAUGGUUUUGUGGGCCAACCCCAGGGUCCUCAUGCUGUGUGCAGCCUAGGGACUUAGUGCCCUGUGACCCAGCCACUCCAGCCAUUGCUAAAAGGGGCCAAGGUACAGCUCGGCCCACGGUUUCAGAGGGUGCAAGCCCCAACCCUUGGCAGCUUCCACGUAUUGUUGAGCCUGCGGGUACACAGAAAUCAAGAAUUGAGGUUUGGGAACCUUCAUCUAGAUUUCAGAAGAUGUUUGGAAAUGCCUGGAUGCCCAGGCAAAAGUUUGCUGCAGGAUCGGGGCCCUCAUGGAGAACCUCUGCUAGGGCAGUACAGAAGGGAACUCUGGGUUUGGAGCCCCCAUACAGAGUCCCUACUAGGGCACCACCUAGGGGAGCGCUGACAAGAAGGCCACUGUCCUCCAGACCCCAGAAUGGUGGAUCCACUGACAGCUUGCACCAUGCGCCUGGAAAAGCCACAGAGACUCAAUGCCAGCCUGUGAAAACAGCCAGGAGGGGGGCUAUGCUCUGCAAAUCCACAGGGGCGAAGCUGCCCAAGACUAUGGGAACCUAUCUCUUGCAUCAGGGUGACCUGGAUGUGAGACAUGGCAUCAAAAGAGAUCACUUUGGAGCUUUAGAAUUUUACUGCCCUGCUGGAUUUUGAACUUGCGUGGACCCUGUAUCCCCUUUGUAUUGGUCAAAUUCUCCCAUUUGGAAUGGCUGUAUUUACCCAAUACCUGUACCUCCGUUGCAUCUAGGAAGUAAGUAGCUUUCUUUUGAUAUUACAGGCUCAUAGGCAGAAGGGACUUGCCUUGUCUCAGAUGAGACUUUGGACUGUGGACUUUUGGGUUAAUGCUGAAAUGAGUUUAAGACUUUGGGAGACUGUUGGGAAGGCAUGACUGGUUUUGAAAUGUGAAGACAUGAGAUUUAGAGGGGUCAGGGUGGAAUUAUAUGGUGUGGCUCUGUGUCCCCACCCAAAUUUCAUCUUGAAUCAUACUCUCAUCAUUCCCACAUGUUGUGGGAGGGAUCCAGUGGGAGAUAAUUUGAAUCAUGGGGGCGGUUUCCCCCGUACUGUUCUCAUGGUAGUGAAUAAGUCUCAUGAGAUCUGAUGAUUUUAUCAGUAGUUUCCACUUUUGCAUCUCUCCCAUUUUUUCUCUUGUCAUCGCCAUGCAAGAAGUGCCUUUCACCUCCCGCAAUGAUUCUGAGGCCUCCUCAACCGUGUGGAACU